GCAAGUCGAACGAACUCUUCGGAGUUAGUGGCAGACGGGUGAGUAACGCGUGGGAACAUACCUUUCGGUACGGAACAACAGUUGGAAACGACUGCUAAUACCGUAUACGCCCUAUGGGGGAAAGAUUUAUCGCCGAGAGAUUGGCCCGCGUUAGAUUAGCUAGUUGGUGAGGUAAUGGCUCACCAAGGCGACGAUCUAUAGCUGGUCUGAGAGGAUGAUC
Molecule: ribosomal RNA, 220 nt
Filed under: uncultured bacterium
Lineage: Bacteria
Description: partial 16S ribosomal RNA
Rfam family: Bacterial small subunit ribosomal RNA
Source: RNAcentral